GCCACCUACGGCCCGCCCCGGCUGGGUGGUGCGGUCAUCGCGCGGCCGGCGAUCACCGGAUUGCUGUCCGGUUCGGAUGCCGAACUGGUGGUG
This 93-nucleotide transfer RNA is filed under the name Mycolicibacterium sp. TY66. Its description in RNAcentral is "tRNA-Ala". The record is from RNAcentral. Lineage: Bacteria; Bacillati; Actinomycetota; Actinomycetes; Mycobacteriales; Mycobacteriaceae. RNAcentral also lists the same sequence under 2 other names.